This is a non-coding RNA of Camelina sativa (false flax), 641 nucleotides long. Lineage: Eukaryota; Viridiplantae; Streptophyta; Magnoliopsida; Brassicales; Brassicaceae. The record is from RefSeq and is a predicted model, not a curated record.
AAAAAAAAAAAACUGCAACCUUCCCUUCUUCCCCCACGAUCUCAUUAUGUCCACUUCUCAAUUCUUCAACAAUAAAACACAGAUGAUUUCAUACAAAAAGCUCGCAUCUCUUCUAUUUCUGAUUCAUGUUUCUUCUUGCCUUGAUCAGGAACACCAUUGAAAGGAGAAGGUUCUGGCAAAUUGAGUUUUUUUAAUGAACUGAUUGUCACAAGACAAGAAGAACAACAACAUCAACAAGAAUAAGAUGACGCUUAACAUUCGUCGUGAAUCUUCCAAGCUAUGGAAGAGAUUUUGCUCUGAGAUAACGAUGGAGAUUGGUCUUCUUGCUGAGAACUUGAGAUAUCUUCUGGCUGGUCCUAUCCAUCAGGUUUACAUCUUAAAGUUCUGAACUUUUUGUUUUAACUUUAGUUUCAUUUACUGAGAACUUUGAUGUAUAUGAUAUUCAAUCACUUUUUAUCCAGUUUGCGGCUAAUUAUUCCAGAGUAAAAAAGGCAUGCCUAAUUCUCCAAGGUUUAUUUUUAUGAAUAAAUUUAAACAGUUUCAAUAUCACUUUCUUUGACUUGCAUGUCUCUCAAGAUUAAUUCUUUGCCCACAAAAGAGAAACAAUAUGUAUGGCAAAAAUUCCAGAGGUGUUUGCAAUA